Molecule: RNA transcript, 1641 nt
Organism: Nycticebus coucang (slow loris)
Lineage: Eukaryota; Metazoa; Chordata; Mammalia; Primates; Lorisidae
Gene name: cyclin-dependent kinase 16-like
Exons: 1
Source: RefSeq, a predicted model, not a curated record
UCUUCUGCAUCCGAUCCAUGGCCACCAGCGGGGGCGCGAGCAGCCUCAGAGCCGCGGGGCAGGAGCGGCGGUGCCUGGGCCACGGCCCGGGCUCAGGCUGCGCGACCUCCUUCUCCUCCUACCGGUCCCAGCAGUCCUUGAAGAUUGGGUCUGAUGGGGAGAGUGACCAGGCUUCGCCACAUCCUAGGAUGAGGUGCAGUCUCCAGUGAGGGUGCUCAUGUGCAACCAUCCCCCACUCCAGAUCUCCACUGAGGACAUUAACAAGCGCCUGUCACUACCAGCUGACAUCCGGCUGCCUGAGGGUUACCUUGAGAAGCUGACUCUAAAUAGUCCCAUUUUUGACAGGCCCCUCAGCCGCUGCCUCCGUCGUGUCAGCCUGUCGGAGAUUGGCUUUGGAAAACUAGAGACCUACAUCAAGCUGGACAAACUGGGCGACGAUACCUAUGCCACGGUAUACAAAGGCAAAAGCAAGCUUACAGACAACCUUGUAGCACUCAAGGAGAUCAGACUUGAACACGAAGAGGGGGCGCCCUGCACCGCCAUCCGGGAAGUGUCUCUGCUCAAGGACCUCAAACAUGCCAACAUUGUUAGGCUAGUGACAUUAUCCACACGGAGAAAUCCCUCACCCUUGUCUUUGAGUACCUGGACAAGGACCUGAAGCAGUACCUGGAUGACUGUGGGAACCUAAUCAACAUGCACAAGGUGAAACUGUUCCUGUUCCAGCUGCUCCAUGGCCUGGCCUACUGCCACGGCAGAAGGUGCUACACCGAGACCUCAAGCCCCAGAACCUGCUUAUCAACGAGAGGGGACAGCUCAAGCUAGCUGACUUUGGCCUGGCCCGGGCCAAGUCAAUCCCAACAAAGACAUACUCUAAUGAGGUGGUGACACUGUGGUACCAGCCACCUGACAUCCUGCUUGGGUCCACAGACUACUCCACUCAGAUUGACAUGUGGGGUGUGGGCUGCAUCUUCUAUGAGAUGGCCGACCCCUCUUCACGGGCUCGCAGUGGAAGAACAGCUGCACUUCAUCUUCGGCAUCUUAGGAACCCCAACUGAGGACACGUGGUCAGGCAUCCUGUCCAAUGAGGAGUUUAAGACAUACAACUAUCCCCAGUACCAAGCCGAGGCCCUUUUAAGCCAUGCACCCCGACUUGAUAGCGACGGGGCUGACCUCCUUUCUAAGCUGCUACAGCUUGAGGGUCGAAAUCGCAUCUCUGCAGAGGAUGCCAUGAAACAUCCAUUCUUCUUCAGUCUGGGGGAGCGGAUCCACACACUUCCUGACACUACUUCCAUAUUUGCACUAAAGGAGAUUCAGCUACAAAAGGAGGCCAGCCUUCAGUCUUCAUCAAUGCCUGACUCAGGCAGGCCAGCUUUCCACGUGGUGGACACCGAGUUCUGAGUUCUAAGCCACAGACCGAGGCCCCAGCAGGCAGCAGCUGGAGGGAUGCCACACCCCUCACAGGGCAGCCCCCAACUGCAUCCUCCCUGCUUGCUACCUGCCUACCUGCCUGAGCCAUGUUCACCUGCCCACUGGUCCCCUGCUGCCCACCUGAACACCCCACCAUUGGCCUGUCAACCCACCCAUUGACCUGUCUGCUGGGUGCUAACAAAGUUCUCAUCACUCCUUCAAAAAAAAAAUAAA